CUGGUGGGAGGGGAGGGGGAGAGGAGGGGAUACAGAGGUGCAUGUGGGGGAAGGGAGUGUGCGUGUUAGGGGAAGAGACAGGGUUUGUUUGCCUGUUCUUCUUUCGUAUGUGUAUGUGUUUCCCCCCUCUCUCCAAGUGAGGACUAAUGCCAUCCCUGGGCCUGCUCUCUUUCCCUCCCUGCAUUAGAGGUUGCCUAUAGGAGGAAGCCGAUGGCUGCAGCAUCCAGCGCAUUAUUACCUUGCGAUGCCGUGACCCUCCUCCAUGCAUCCCUAACUCUUUAAAGCUGAUUCAGCUAGCGCUCUGGAGGCUCCCCUGCUGCAACAGAAUCUCCUCACUGUUUGUCAGGUAAACCACAACCGGCCUCAGCUGCUACAGAGUUCAACUGGGUGGCUUUUUCUUAACACUGAAAGAAAUAAAGAAAGUGAAGACAUUCUCUUUCUGGGGCUCUUUGGGAGGCAGAAGAAAUCCUGGACUUACUAGGUAAGAGCUUCUGUUUACAAUAUUUAGCUGUCUUUUUAAUACCCUCUCUCUCCUUAGUCCCAGUCAAUUGCUGAAAGAAUCCUUUGUCUUUAACAGAAGAAUUUCUAACCUCAGUAUGAGAAGGAGGCAGCUUGGUGUUGCUGUCUAAGUUGUAAACUGUACAUUUGAAUUCUGGAUGGGCAAGUGCUAAGCUUUGCAGGACAGGGGAAAGGACUAGUUUUUGUUUACUCUUCCCUUUUUACUAAAGUCUUCAUCUGAGAAAUAGAAAGAAUUGUGAUUUUCCAGAGUUUCUGGAUCUUUUCUUUCAAAUCUUUAUUUCUUAGUCCUUCUAAUUAUUAAUGUGG
This 825-nucleotide long non-coding RNA is filed under the name Phascolarctos cinereus (koala). RNAcentral's name for it is "lncRNA (ENSPCIG00000017194.2)". The record is from RNAcentral. Lineage: Eukaryota; Metazoa; Chordata; Mammalia; Diprotodontia; Phascolarctidae.